GGUCUGGGCCUCGAGGCCAGGCCAGAAGGACCAGGGGCUGGAAACUCAUCUUCAGGGCUCCCAAGCUGCUGCGGAGAUAGACAGCGGGCUGUGGAUGGGAAGGAGACUAGAAUAUUCUGAGACAGGGUCGGGUGGGAGCUGGGAGAGGUAAUGUCAAAUUGUUGCCUAAGAGGCAGCUCAGCUCCAGUGACCACACCAGGACAGUUUAAGACCGGGAGCGGAACCAGGGAGGUUGUUUUUGGUAACUGGGGGCCUGGGUUUGAGUUCCUUGACCAGCAGGAGGUGCUUGGAUUUAGGGAGGCUCUAAUCGCAUGGACGAAGAACCCCGAGUUGUCUGGCGGCCUUUCACAGUAUCCGACCGGGGCGUCCUGGACCGCCGACAGCUCUAUCUGACCACCUCGGCCCGGCCCGGGACUUUCGGUUCUAUCCCAAGACGGAGCUGUCUCUAUACCCUCGCAAAGACUCCCUGAUCUACUGGAGCUUCGAAGAGACGCCCUAACUCU
Mandrillus leucophaeus (drill) is the source of this 503-nucleotide long non-coding RNA. RefSeq lists it as uncharacterized. The record is from RefSeq and is a predicted model, not a curated record. Lineage: Eukaryota; Metazoa; Chordata; Mammalia; Primates; Cercopithecidae. The transcript has 3 exons.